RNAcentral lists this ribosomal RNA (792 nucleotides) under uncultured bacterium. Its description in RNAcentral is "bacterial SSU rRNA". It matches the Rfam family "Bacterial small subunit ribosomal RNA", at positions 8 to 796 of the family's 1533-position model. The record is from RNAcentral.
AGAGUUUGAUCAUGGCUCAGGAUGAACGCUAGCGGCAGGCUUAACACAUGCAAGUCGAGGGGUAACAGGGAGCUUGCUCCGCUGACGACCGGCAAACGGGUGCGGAACACGUACGCAACAUACCCGCUACUGGGGGGAUAGCCUUCUGAAAAGGAGAUUAAUACCCCAUAAGAUAAUGGAGUGGCAUCACUCAGUUAUUAAAGAUUUAUUGGUAGCGGAUUGGCGUGCGUCCUAUUAGCUAGUUGGUAAGGUAAUGGCUUACCAAGGCGAUGAUAGGUAGCUGGUGUGAGAGCACGACCAGCCACACGGGCACUGAGACACGGGCCCGACUCCUACGGGAGGCAGCAGUGAGGAAUAUUGGGCAAUGGACGGAAGUCUGACCCAGCCAUGCCGCGUGAAGGAUGAAGGCGUUCUGCGUUGUAAACUUCUUUUAUCAGGGAAGAAAAGCACUUUUUCUAGAGUGUCCGACGGUACCUGAGGAAUAAGCACCGGCUAACUCCGUGCCAGCAGCCGCGGUAAUACGGAGGGUGCGAGCGUUAUCCGGAUUUACUGGGUUUAAAGGGUGUGUAGGCGGGCUUUUAAGUCAGUGGUGAAAUCUCCGGGCUCAACCUGGAAACUGCCAUUGAUACUAUUGGUCUUGAAUAUUGUUGAGGUGGGCGGAAUACAUCAUGUAGCGGUGAAAUGCUUAGAUAUGAUGUAGAACACCGAUUGCGAAAGCAGCUCACUGGGCAAUUAUUGACGCUGAGGCACGAAAGCGUGGGGAUCAAACAGGAUUAGAUACCCUAGUAGUCC